This 119-nucleotide ribosomal RNA is filed under the name Pteropus alecto (black flying fox). RNAcentral also lists the same sequence under 1 other name. The record is from RNAcentral. Lineage: Eukaryota; Metazoa; Chordata; Mammalia; Chiroptera; Pteropodidae.
CGUUUUGUCUAUGCCACCCUGAACAUGCCCAAUCUCGUCUGAUCUCGGAAAUUAAGCAGGGUCGGGCCUGGUUAGUAAUUGGAUGGGAGACCACCUAGGAAUACUGGGUGCUGUAGCCU